CCUACGGGAGGCUGCAGUGAGGAAUAUUGGUCAAUGGGCGGGAGCCUGAACCAGCCAAGUCGCGUGAGGGAAGACGGUCCUAUGGAUUGUAAACCUCUUUAGUCGGGGAGCAAUGCCGGGCACGCGUGCCCGGAGGGAGAGUACCCGCAGACUAAGCAUCGGCUAACUCCGUGCCAGCAGCCGCGGUAAUACGGAGGAUGCGAGCGUUAUCCGGAUUGAUUGGGUUUAAAGGGUGCGUAGGCGGAUAGUUAAGUCAGCGGUAAAAUGUCCGGGCUCAACCCGGGCCGGCCGUUGAAACUGGGGAUCUUGAGUGGGCGAGAAGUAUGCGGAAUGCGUGGUGUAGCGGUGAAAUGCAUAGAUAUCACGCAGAACUCCGAUUGCGAAGGCAGCAUACCGGCGCCCGACUGACGCUGAGGCACGAAAGCGUGGGGAUCGAACAGGAUUAGAUACCCGUGUAGUC
Molecule: ribosomal RNA, 460 nt
Filed under: uncultured bacterium
Lineage: Bacteria
Description: partial 16S ribosomal RNA
Rfam family: Bacterial small subunit ribosomal RNA
Source: RNAcentral